UCCAGCAGCCCAAGCACUCUGCAACUCACAACUGGCAACCCACUGAAGCUCAGCAGGUGUGAGCCUGGGCAGUACCUGGAUGGGAGACCUCCUGGGAAAAACUAAGGCUGCUGCUGGAA
RNAcentral lists this ribosomal RNA (119 nucleotides) under Lepisosteus oculatus (spotted gar). Lineage: Eukaryota; Metazoa; Chordata; Actinopteri; Semionotiformes; Lepisosteidae. The record is from RNAcentral.